GACGAACGCUGGCGGCGUGCUUAACACAUGCAAGUCGAACGGAAAGGCCCUGCUUUUGUGGGGUGCUCGAGUGGCGAACGGGUGAGUAACACGUGAGUAACCUGCCCUUGACUUUGGGAUAACUUCAGGAAACUGGGGCUAAUACCGGAUAGGAGCUCCUGCUGCAUGGUGGGGGUUGGAAAGUUUCGGCGGUUGGGGAUGGACUCGCGGCUUAUCAGCUUGUUGGUGGGGUAGUGGCUUACCAAGGCUUUGACGGGUAGCCGGCCUGAGAGGGUGACCGGCCACAUUGGGACUGGGAUGCGGCCCAGACUCGUACGGUAGGCAGGAGUGGGGAGUGUUGCAGAAGGGGCGGGAGGUUGUUGCAGCACCGCAGCGAGGGGGAUGAGGGCCAGGGGGUUGGGAACCGAUGACGCCUGUGCCGGGGCGUGAAUGACGGUACUGGGUGAAGAAGCACCGGCUAACUACGUG
This 468-nucleotide ribosomal RNA is filed under the name uncultured bacterium. RNAcentral describes it as "partial 16S ribosomal RNA". It matches the Rfam family "Bacterial small subunit ribosomal RNA", at positions 28 to 507 of the family's 1533-position model. The record is from RNAcentral.